Molecule: ribosomal RNA, 406 nt
Filed under: uncultured bacterium
Lineage: Bacteria
Description: partial 16S ribosomal RNA
Rfam family: Bacterial small subunit ribosomal RNA
Source: RNAcentral
AUUGAACGCUGGCGGCAGGCCUAACACACGCAAGUCGAACGAGUGGCGGACGGGUGAGUAAUGUCUGGGAAACUGCCUGAUGGAGGGGGAUAACUACUGGAAACGGUAUCUACAACCGCAUACCAUCAGCUAUGACCAUCUGGGAUUAGCGAGUAGGUGGGGUAACGGUUCACCUAGGCGACGAUCCCUAGCUGGUCUGAGAGGAUGACCAGCCACACUGGACCUGAUACACGGUCAAGACUCCUACGGGAGGGCGCAGUUGGGAAUAUUGCACAAUGGGCGCAAGCCGGAUGCAGCCAUGCCGCGUGUGUGAAGCAGGCCUUCGGGUUGUAAAGCACUUUCAGCGGUGAGGCGUUACCCGCAGAAGAAGCACCGGCUAACUCCGUGCCAGCAGCCGCGGUAAUUC